Molecule: ribosomal RNA, 404 nt
Filed under: uncultured bacterium
Lineage: Bacteria
Description: bacterial SSU rRNA
Rfam family: Bacterial small subunit ribosomal RNA
Source: RNAcentral
UGGGGAAUAUUGGACAAUGGGCGCAAGCCUGAUCCAGCCAUGCCGCGUGAGUGAUGAAGGCCCUAGGGUUGUAAAGCUCUUUUGUGCGGGAAGAUAAUGACGGUACCGCCAAAGGAAGCGCCGGCUAACUCCGUGCCAGCAGCCGCGGUAAGACGGAGGGCGCGAGCGUUGUUCGGAAUCACUGGGCGUAAAGCGCGCGCAGGCGGGACGAGCAAGUCGGAAGUGAAAUCCCGGGGCUCAACUCCGGGACUGCUUCCGAAACUGCCGACCUGGAGGCCGGUAGAGGUGGGUGGAAUUCCCGGUGUAGCGGUGGAAUGCGUAGAGAUCGGGAAGAACACCUGUGGCGAAGGCGGCCCACUGGGCCGGUUCUGACGCUGAGGCGCGAAAGCGUGGGGAGCAAACAG